RNAcentral lists this ribosomal RNA (2919 nucleotides) under Bacillus anthracis (anthrax bacterium). RNAcentral's name for it is "bacterial LSU rRNA". It matches the Rfam family "Bacterial large subunit ribosomal RNA". The record is from RNAcentral. Lineage: Bacteria; Bacillati; Bacillota; Bacilli; Caryophanales; Bacillaceae.
UAAGUUAGAAAGGGCGCACGGUGGAUGCCUUGACACUAGGAGUCGAUGAAGGACGGGACUAACGCCGAUAUGCUUCGGGGAGCUGUAAGUAAGCUUUGAUCCGAAGAUUUCCGAAUGGGGAAACCCACCAUACGUAAUGGUAUGGUAUCCUUAUCUGAAUACAUAGGGUAAGGAAGACAGACCCAGGGAACUGAAACAUCUAAGUACCUGGAGGAAGAGAAAGCAAAUGCGAUUUCCUGAGUAGCGGCGAGCGAAACGGAACAUAGCCCAAACCAAGAGGCUUGCCUCUUGGGGUUGUAGGACAUUCUAUACGGAGUUACAAAGGAACGAGGUAGACGAAGCGACCUGGAAAGGUCCGUCGUAGAGGGUAACAACCCCGUAGUCGAAACUUCGUUCUCUCUUGAAUGUAUCCUGAGUACGGCGGAACACGUGAAAUUCCGUCGGAAUCUGGGAGGACCAUCUCCCAAGGCUAAAUACUCCCUAGUGAUCGAUAGUGAACCAGUACCGUGAGGGAAAGGUGAAAAGCACCCCGGAAGGGGAGUGAAAGAGAUCCUGAAACCGUGUGCCUACAAAUAGUCAGAGCCCGUUAACGGGUGAUGGCGUGCCUUUUGUAGAAUGAACUGGCGAGUUACGAUCCCGUGCGAGGUUAAGCUGAAGAGGCGGAGCCGCAGCGAAAGCGAGUCUGAAUAGGGCGUUUAGUACGUGGUCGUAGACCCGAAACCAGGUGAUCUACCCAUGUCCAGGGUGAAGUUCAGGUAACACUGAAUGGAGGCCCGAACCCACGCACGUUGAAAAGUGCGGGGAUGAGGUGUGGGUAGCGGAGAAAUUCCAAUCGAACCUGGAGAUAGCUGGUUCUCCCCGAAAUAGCUUUAGGGCUAGCCUUAAGUGUAAGAGUCUUGGAGGUAGAGCACUGAUUGGACUAGGGGUCCUCAUCGGAUUACCGAAUUCAGUCAAACUCCGAAUGCCAAUGACUUAUCCUUAGGAGUCAGACUGCGAGUGAUAAGAUCCGUAGUCAAAAGGGAAACAGCCCAGACCGCCAGCUAAGGUCCCAAAGUGUGUAUUAAGUGGAAAAGGAUGUGGAGUUGCUUAGACAACUAGGAUGUUGGCUUAGAAGCAGCCACCAUUUAAAGAGUGCGUAAUAGCUCACUAGUCGAGUGACUCUGCGCCGAAAAUGUACCGGGGCUAAAUACACCACCGAAGCUGCGGAUUGAUACCAAUGGUAUCAGUGGUAGGGGAGCGUUCUAAGGACAGUGAAGUCAGACCGGAAGGACUGGUGGAGUGCUUAGAAGUGAGAAUGCCGGUAUGAGUAGCGAAAGACGGGUGAGAAUCCCGUCCACCGAAUGCCUAAGGUUUCCUGAGGAAGGCUCGUCCGCUCAGGGUUAGUCAGGACCUAAGCCGAGGCCGACAGGCGUAGGCGAUGGACAACAGGUUUGAUAUUCCUGUACCACCUCUUUAUCGUUUGAGCAAUGGAGGGACGCAGAAGGAUAGAAGAAGCGUGCGAUUGGUUGUGCACGUCCAAGCAGUUAGGCUGAUAAGUAGGCAAAUCCGCUUAUCGUGAAGGCUGAGCUGUGAUGGGGAAGCUCCUUAUGGAGCGAAGUCUUUGAUUCCCCGCUGCCAAGAAAAGCUUCUAGCGAGAUAAAAGGUGCCUGUACCGCAAACCGACACAGGUAGGCGAGGAGAGAAUCCUAAGGUGUGCGAGAGAACUCUGGUUAAGGAACUCGGCAAAAUGACCCCGUAACUUCGGGAGAAGGGGUGCUUUCUUAACGGAAAGCCGCAGUGAAUAGGCCCAAGCGACUGUUUAGCAAAAACACAGCUCUCUGCGAAGCCGUAAGGCGAAGUAUAGGGGGUGACACCUGCCCGGUGCUGGAAGGUUAAGGAGAGGGGUUAGCGUAAGCGAAGCUCUGAACUGAAGCCCCAGUAAACGGCGGCCGUAACUAUAACGGUCCUAAGGUAGCGAAAUUCCUUGUCGGGUAAGUUCCGACCCGCACGAAAGGUGUAACGAUUUGGGCACUGUCUCAACCAGAGACUCGGUGAAAUUAUAGUACCUGUGAAGAUGCAGGUUACCCGCGACAGGACGGAAAGACCCCGUGGAGCUUUACUGUAGCCUGAUAUUGAAUUUUGGUACAGUUUGUACAGGAUAGGCGGGAGCCUUUGAAACCGGAGCGCUAGCUUCGGUGGAGGCGCUGGUGGGAUACCGCCCUGACUGUAUUGAAAUUCUAACCUACGGGUCUUAUCGACCCGGGAGACAGUGUCAGGUGGGCAGUUUGACUGGGGCGGUCGCCUCCUAAAGUGUAACGGAGGCGCCCAAAGGUUCCCUCAGAAUGGUUGGAAAUCAUUCGUAGAGUGCAAAGGCAUAAGGGAGCUUGACUGCGAGACCUACAAGUCGAGCAGGGACGAAAGUCGGGCUUAGUGAUCCGGUGGUUCCGCAUGGAAGGGCCAUCGCUCAACGGAUAAAAGCUACCCCGGGGAUAACAGGCUUAUCUCCCCCAAGAGUCCACAUCGACGGGGAGGUUUGGCACCUCGAUGUCGGCUCAUCGCAUCCUGGGGCUGUAGUCGGUCCCAAGGGUUGGGCUGUUCGCCCAUUAAAGCGGUACGCGAGCUGGGUUCAGAACGUCGUGAGACAGUUCGGUCCCUAUCCGUCGUGGGCGUAGGAAAUUUGAGAGGAGCUGUCCUUAGUACGAGAGGACCGGGAUGGACGCACCGCUGGUGUACCAGUUGUUCUGCCAAGGGCAUAGCUGGGUAGCUAUGUGCGGAAGGGAUAAGUGCUGAAAGCAUCUAAGCAUGAAGCCCCCCUCAAGAUGAGAUUUCCCAUAGCGUAAGCUAGUAAGAUCCCUGAAAGAUGAUCAGGUUGAUAGGUUCGAGGUGGAAGCAUGGUGACAUGUGGAGCUGACGAAUACUAAUAGAUCGAGGACUUAACCA